Cucurbita moschata (crookneck pumpkin) is the source of this 400-nucleotide long non-coding RNA. RefSeq lists it as uncharacterized. The record is from RefSeq and is a predicted model, not a curated record. NCBI's taxonomy places the organism in Eukaryota, Viridiplantae, Streptophyta, Magnoliopsida, Cucurbitales, Cucurbitaceae. The transcript has 3 exons.
GCAGCUCAGUAGCCCGCCGUCUUCUUUCUUCUAUGCCGCUGCCCCCUCCCUCUGUAAUCUUUAACCACUCGAAGGAGGCUUUCAUUCUGUCUUCUCCAUGCGGUAGAUACGUAAUAACGAGAAACAGAAGCUAAUUCUACCGCCGGAGUUUCCACCAGAGCUCACCGAUGAAGAAGUUGAGGUCUCCGAAGGGGAAGAAGUUGACGUCUCAGAAGUUACUGGAUUAGGCUUCCAACAGCAAAGGAGCUAGAAAUGGAAGUAUCCAAGGGUGUUCAGAAAAUGCGGAGCUACGGGUCUACUCUUCUCAUUGCUUAUAAGUGUAGACUGAAACUUCUUGGUUUUUUGCAAUGCAUAACUGGGGAUCUAGAUGCCUUAUUUGUUAAGAGGAUCUCCUUUUAGG